This 402-nucleotide ribosomal RNA is filed under the name uncultured bacterium. RNAcentral's name for it is "bacterial SSU rRNA". It matches the Rfam family "Bacterial small subunit ribosomal RNA", at positions 355 to 774 of the family's 1533-position model. The record is from RNAcentral.
UGGGGAAUAUUGGACAAUGGGCGCAAGCCUGAUCCAGCCAUGCCGCGUGAGUGAUGAAGGCCUUAGGGUUGUAAAGCUCUUUUAUCCGGGACGAUAAUGACGGUACCGGAAGAAUAAGCCCCGGCUAACUUCGUGCCAGCAGCCGCGGUAAUACGAAGGGGGCUAGCGUUGCUCGGAAUCACUGGGCGUAAAGGGCGCGUAGGCGGACAUUUAAGUCAGGGGUGAAAUCCCGGGGCUCAACCUCGGAAUUGCCUUUGAUACUGGGUGUCUCGAGUCCGGAAGAGGUAAGUGGAACUGCGAGUGUAGAGGUGAAAUUCGUAGAUAUUCGCAAGAACACCAGUGGCGAAGGCGGCUUACUGGUCCGGUUCUGACGCUGAGGCGCGAAAGCGUGGGGAGCAAACA